Molecule: non-coding RNA, 81 nt
Organism: Obelidium mucronatum
Lineage: Eukaryota; Fungi; Chytridiomycota; Chytridiomycetes; Chytridiales; Chytriomycetaceae
Source: the annotation of a GenBank genome assembly
GCCCCUUUAGCUUAGUGGUAGAGCGUUUCCCUCGUACAUUGAGCCAGGAAAAGGUCAGCGGUUCAAUCCCGCUAGGGGGCA